UACGGGGGGGGCAAGCGUUGUUCGGAAUUACUGGGCGUAAAGGGCGCGUAGGCGGCUCGCUAAGUCGGAUGUGAAAACUCUGGGCUCAACCCAGAGCCUGCAUUCGAAACUGACGAGCUGGAGUUCUGGAGGGGAAAGCGGAAUUCCUGGUGUAGCGGUAAAAUGCGUAGAUAUCAGGAGGAACACCGGUGGCGAAGGCGGCUUUCUGGGUCUUACCUGACGCUGAGGAACGAAAGCCAGGGGAGCGAACGGG
RNAcentral lists this ribosomal RNA (253 nucleotides) under uncultured bacterium. Its description in RNAcentral is "partial 16S ribosomal RNA". It matches the Rfam family "Bacterial small subunit ribosomal RNA", at positions 524 to 776 of the family's 1533-position model. The record is from RNAcentral.